RNAcentral lists this ribosomal RNA (813 nucleotides) under uncultured Acidobacteriota bacterium. Its description in RNAcentral is "bacterial SSU rRNA". It matches the Rfam family "Bacterial small subunit ribosomal RNA", at positions 71 to 864 of the family's 1533-position model. The record is from RNAcentral. Lineage: Bacteria; Pseudomonadati; Acidobacteriota.
AAAGGGGCUUCGGCCCUGAGUAGAGUGGCAAACGGGUGAGUAACACGUGGGUGACCUACCUUCGAAUGGGGGAUAACGUCCCGAAAGGGACGCUAAUACCGCAUAACAUCCUGCUUUUGAACAGGUGGAGAUCAAAGCUGGGGAUCGCAAGACCUGGCGUUUGAAGAGGGGCCCGCGUCUGAUUAGCUAGUUGGUGAGGUAACGGCCCACCAAGGCGACGAUCAGUAUCCGGCCUGAGAGGGCGGACGGACACACUGGGACUGAGACACGGCCCAGACUCCUACGGGAGGCAGCAGUGGGGAAUUGUUCGCAAUGGGCGCAAGCCUGACGACGCAACGCCGCGUGGAGGAUGAAGGUCUUCGGAUUGUAAACUCCUGUUGCCCGGGACGAAAAGCUUCGACCUAACACGUCGAAGUCUGACGGUACCGGGUGAGGAAGCCCCGGCUAACUCUGUGCCAGCAGCCGCGGUAAUACAGAGGGGGCAAGCGUUGUUCGGAAUUACUGGGCGUAAAGGGCGCGUAGGCGGCCUUCUAAGUCAGACGUGAAAUCCCCGGGCUCAACCCGGGAACUGCGUCUGAUACUGGAAGGCUUGAAUCCGGGAGAGGGAUGUGGAAUUCCAGGUGUAGCGGUGAAAUGCGUAGAUAUCUGGAGGAACACCGGUGGCGAAGGCGGCAUCCUGGACCGGUAUUGACGCUGAGGCGCGAAAGCCAGGGGAGCAAACGGGAUUAGAUACCCCGGUAGUCCUGGCCCUAAACGAUGAAUGCUUGGUGUGGCGGGUAUCGAUCCCUGCCGUGCCGAAGCUAACGCAUUAAG